AACCACUGCGCCACCAGGCCGGCCCCUCAAACAUUUUUGUAGGUGCUUGAAAAUGGCUCACACUGUCGAUCCUUUGUGGAAAACCUUGCCCGGGGGAGACAGACCAUUAAGCCUGCGAUUUCUUCCUUUCUUUUUUUUAUUUUUAAUUUUGAAAUUAUUUCAAUUUACAGAAAUAUUGCAAGAAGAAUACAGACAUCUUGUAUACUCUUCAUAGAGACCCAUCAAUUGUUACCUUGUUUCUCAGCUUUAUCAUUCUCUCUCUAUGUAUAUACAUAUAUAUGAUGUGCAUAGCUGUAUCACAUGCAUCUAUAGAAAGAGACAUACAUAAUAUAUAUAAAAAAUAUAGCCAUAUAUAUGUGUAUAUAACAUACACACAAAUAUAUUGAGAUAUACAUCAAACAUUACAAAGAGAAGCAUAUGUAUAAUACACAUAUUUACAUGUAGAGAGACACAUAUGUAUAGUACACAUACAAAGGCAUAUAUAAUACACAUAUAUGCAGCAAUAUACGUAACACACAUAAGACAUACAUAAAACACAUAUAUACAGAAAUAGACAUAACACAGAGACAUAUAUAAUACACAUGCACACAGAAACACGCAUGACACAGAGGCGUAUAUAUAACACACAUGCACACAGAAACACGCAUGACACAGAGGCGUAUAUGUAAUACACAUGCACACAGAAACACGCAUGACACAGAGGCGUAUAUGUAAUACACAUGCACACAGAAACACGCAUGACACAGAGGCGUGUAUAUAAUACACAUGCACACAGAAACGCACACGACACAGAGGCAUAUAUAUAAUACACAUGCACACAGAAACGCACACGACACAGAGGCAUAUAUAUAAUACACAUGCACACAGAAACAUACAUCAUACACAUAGAGACAUAUAUAUAACACAUAUAUACAGAAAUAUAUAUAACCCACGCAGAGACAUAUUUAACACACCAUAUACAGAAAUAAAUACACUGUACACACAUGUAUGUAGAGGCAUGUUAACACACAUGGAGAGAGACAUACACAUACAAUAUACACAAAUUCCAUAUACAUAUGGAGAGAGCCACAUUUCUGUGUGGAGAGACACACGUAUACCUAUAGAUACAUAUAAUACAUACGCACACGUAUACACACACAUGCACAUAUGUAAUACACACAGAUACAUGCACACAGAUUCUACAACACGCACACACUUAGAGAAAGAGUGAUAAUAACACACACAGACACGCACGUGUUAUUUUUCCCGAACCAUUCAAGGGUGUGUCGCAGG
RNAcentral lists this long non-coding RNA (1272 nucleotides) under Equus caballus (horse). Its description in RNAcentral is "lncRNA (ENSECAG00000045911.1)". Lineage: Eukaryota; Metazoa; Chordata; Mammalia; Perissodactyla; Equidae. The record is from RNAcentral.